This 1139-nucleotide ribosomal RNA is filed under the name uncultured organism. Its description in RNAcentral is "bacterial SSU rRNA". It matches the Rfam family "Bacterial small subunit ribosomal RNA", at positions 222 to 1355 of the family's 1533-position model. The record is from RNAcentral.
GAGAUAAGCCCAUGUCCUGUCAGCUGGUUGGUGAGGUAACGGCUCACCAAGGCUUACGGGUAGCUGGUCUGAGAGGAUGAUCAGCCACAGUGGGACUGAGACACUGCCCAGACUCCUACGGGAGGCUGCAGUCGAGAAUCAUUGUCAAUGCACGAAAGUGUGAACAUGCGACGCCGCGUGGAGGAAGACGGCCUUCGGGUUGUAAACUCCUGUCAGCAGGGAGUAAGGACAGCACCAUUAAUACCGGUGUUGUUUGAUAGUACCUGCAGAGGAAGUCACGGCUAACUCUGUGCCAGCAGCCGCGGUAAUACAGAGGUGGCGAACGUUGUUCGGAUUUACUGGGCGUAAAGGGUCCGCAGGCGGUUCGGUGUGUCGGAUGUGAAAGCUCACAGCUCAACUGUGGAAUUGCAUUCGAAACUGCCGAACUAGAGUACUGGAGGGGAGAAGGGAACACUUGGUGUAGCGGUGAAAUGCGUAGAUAUCAAGUGGAACACCGGCGGCGAAGGCGCUUCUCUGGACAGAUACUGACGCUGAGGGACGAAAGUUAGGGUAGCGAAAGGGAUUAGAUACCCCUGUAGUCCUAACCGUAAACGGUGUGCGCUAGGCGUGGGUGGCUUUACCCCCAUCCGUGCCUGAGUUAACGCAUUAAGCGCACCGCCUGGGGAGUACGGUCGCAAGAUUAAAACUCAAAGGAAUUGACGGGGACCCGCACAAGCGGUGGAGCAUGUGGCUUAAUUCGAUGCAACGCGAAGAACCUUACCUGGGCUUGACAUCUAGCUGCAUACGACCCGAAAGGGACGUAGCCUUCGAGGGUGCUAGACAGGUGCUGCAUGGCUGUCGUCAGCUCGUGCCGUGAGGUGUUGGGUUAAGUCCCGCAACGAGCGCAACCCCUGUGUUUAGUUGCCAGCACGUUAUGGUGGGAACUCUAAACAGACUGCUUGUGAAAGCAAGAGGACGGUGGGGAUGACGUCAAGUCAGUAUGGUCCUUAUGUCCAGGGCCGCACACGUGCUACAAUGGGAUGUACAGUGGGAGGCCAAGCCGCGAGGUGGAGCAAAUCCUCAAAACAUCCCCCAGUUCGGAUCGUAGUCUGAAACUCGACUGCGUGAAGUUGGAAUCGCUAGUAAAGGCGUAUCAGCUA